This 120-nucleotide ribosomal RNA is filed under the name uncultured bacterium. Its description in RNAcentral is "partial 16S ribosomal RNA". It matches the Rfam family "Bacterial small subunit ribosomal RNA", at positions 215 to 334 of the family's 1533-position model. The record is from RNAcentral.
UCGCUGGAAGAGGGGGUCGCGGCUGAUUAGCUAGUUGGCGGGGUAAUGGCCCACCAAGGCAGAGAUCGGUAGCCGGCCUGAGAGGGCGCACGGCCACACUGGAACUGAAACACGGUCCAG